This 1357-nucleotide ribosomal RNA is filed under the name uncultured bacterium. RNAcentral describes it as "partial 16S ribosomal RNA". It matches the Rfam family "Bacterial small subunit ribosomal RNA". The record is from RNAcentral.
UAGAGUUGACCUGGCUCCGGACGAACGCUGGCGGCGUGCUUAACACAUGCAAGUCGAGCGGGGGGCCCUUCGGGGCUCUCAGCGGCGAACGGGUGAGUAACACGUGGGCAACCUGCCCCGAGCUUCGGAAUAACCUCGGGAAACCGGGGCUAAUGCCGGGUACGACCCCUCCGGGCAUCUGGGGGGGUGGAAAGAUUCAUCGGCUCGGGAUGGGCCCGCGGCCUAUCAGCUUGUUGGUGGGGUGACGGCCCACCAAGGCGACGACGGGUAGCCGGCCUGAGAGGGCGAUCGGCCACACUGGGACUGAGACACGGCCCAGACUCCUACGGGAGGCAGCAGUGGGGAAUAUUGCGCAAUGGGCGGAAGCCUGACGCAGCGACGCCGCGUGGGGGAUGACGGCCUUCGGGUUGUAAACCUCUUUCAGCAGGGACGAAGCGCAAGUGACGGUACCUGCAGAAGAAGCACCGGCCAACUACGUGCCAGCAGCCGCGGUAAUACGUAGGUGGCAAGCGUUGUCCGGAUUUACUGGGCGUAAAGCGUAUGCAGGCGGAUACUUAAGUAGGAAGUGAAAGGUGGGAGCUCAACUCCCACAUUGCUCCCUAUACUGGGUGUCUUGAGUGGCGGAGAGGGAGAUGGAACGACACGUGUAGCGGUGAAAUGCGUUGAUAUGUGUCGGAACACCAAUGGCGAAAGCAAUCUCCUGGACGCAAACUGACGCUGAGAUACGAAAGCCAAGGUAGCAAACAGGAUUAGAUACCCUGGUAGUCUUGGCCAUAAACGAUGUUCACUAGGUGUUGGGGCUUUGCCUCGGUGCCGCAGCUAACGCAUUAAGUGAACCGCCUGGGAACUACGAUCGCAAGAUUAAAACUCAAAGGAAUUGGCGGGGGCCCGCACAAGCGGUGGAGCAUGUGGCUUAAUUCGAUGCAACGCGAAGAACCUUACCAGGGCUUGACAUGGAUCUGCAAGCUACCGAAAAGUAGUCGCCUUCGAGGGUGAUUCACAGGUGGUGCAUGGCUGUCGUCAGCUCGUGUUGUGAAAUGUUGGGUUAAGUCCCGCAACGAGCGCAACCCUCAUGUUCUGUUACCAGCGAGUAAAGUCGGGGACUCGGAACAAACUGCCGCUGUAAAGCGGAGGAAGGUGGGGAUGACGUCAAGUCAUCAUGCCCCUUACGCCCUGGGCUGCACACAUGCUACAAUGGCCGGUACAAUGGGCGGCGAUACCGCGAGGUGGAGCGAAUCCCAAAAAGCCGGUCUCAGUUCGGAUCGGGGUCUGCAACUCGACCCCGUGAAGCCGGAGUCGCUAGUAAUCGCAGAUCAGCAACGCUGCGUUGAAUACGUUCCCGGGCAUGCACACACCG